RNAcentral lists this long non-coding RNA (297 nucleotides) under Homo sapiens (human). Its description in RNAcentral is "HSALNT0073730". The record is from RNAcentral. Lineage: Eukaryota; Metazoa; Chordata; Mammalia; Primates; Hominidae.
CACAGGGCUUCUCAGCUGUUUUUUAGAGGGUCAUUUGCAGUACACCUUAUCAGAGGUCUCAAACUAUGCUUAAAAAUUGCCUGAGGACUUUGUUAAAAAUGUACAUUUUACCUGCAUUUUUAACCACUGAUAUAGUAGUCUCCAUCUUUAAUAAGUGGUUUUUAAUUACACUAAGGCUUGAUGCCCGCUGAUCUGUAGGGUCACAGAGGGAACUCUCUUAGCUCAACCCAAAGAUUCAGGUCUGACCCUUUAGUUGAGUGUGGUUGGCAUGUGCCUGUAGUCCCAGCUACUCAGGAG